GAUUUUCGUCCCUGCCUGUACCCCUGUAUAUAGCCUCGUUAUUGUUAUGUUAUUGUGUAAUUUUGGAUUCUUUUUAUAUUUUGUUUAUUUGCUAAAUAUUUUCUUAACUCUUCUUGAACUGCACUGUUGGUUAAGGGCUUGUAAGAAAGCAUUUCUCGGUAAGGUCUACACUUGUUGUAUUCGGCGCAUGUGACAAAGAAAGUUUGAUUUGAUUUUGAUUUGUAUUACUAUAUCCAUAUACUAGUAUUCACUGUAGUAUUUAUUGUAGUGUUUUUGCGGACAUGACUGUAGUAUACUGUAUUACUUGCUGUAGUGUUUUUGUUUUAUUAUCUUUGACAUAGAAAUGGAAACCUACUGGACAGAAACUAAAAGAGCAAAUUCUCCAUAACCUGUAGGCAGAUGGUCGCAUGCGGUUGGACACAUGGAGGAGAGAAUCAUUUUCGCAGUAUCCUCAAAACCGUGUCUUUUUGACACAACUGCUGACAGCUACAGGGACAUAAACACAAAAAAUCCUGCUUGGAGACAAGUGUCCACGAUAGUAGGAUUGCCAGGUCAGUUUAGUAGUGGGCAUGUGCCAGAUGUGGCUAGUUAACGUGACCCACAACAAUGGGUCCUGGAGAAGACUAGCCUACCUUCAUCAGAGCAGAAGGCACCCCAAUGUUCUUUCCAUUUGGUAACAUUGCAUAAUUAAAAAAGGAUUCUAAACCAACUUUGGGAAAAGUUAUAGUCCUAAUGAACAUUCUGUAAAAGUACAUCUGAUGUCAAAUAGGGACUAUUAACUAGAGAGCCCUUUAGCUAGCUAGGUUGCACAUAAAAACAAUGUAUCAAAUAUAAAUCAAUUAUGGUAUCAAAGGCUUUAAAAAUGUACUAGAAUGUAGCUUACCGUAGACAAAUCACCAGGCGUUCAACUGGGCUGAUGGACUCCCGGUAGUUGGUAUCCAUCCGGAUGAUCCUGGCUCCAACCAUCUGAAGCAGGUGAUCGAACUGGCUUCGGUCCAGACGAAAGUAACUUCGGAAUUCCUCUCCAAGCAGUCGAAGCUCUUGAAUGAGACGGUGGAACUCCUCUGCCUGCUUUCGGGACUUUAACCAUCUCUGGACCCAUACAGACCUGCGCUUUCGGCGGGGCUGAUCCCGGCCCAACAGCGCGAUCAAGACCACCUUCCUCAACGUUGGUCUCAUUGUUGAAAGAGCCGACUCUGCUAUCUUGACUAUUAUGCAUUUUGCUCCAAAGCUGCAUUUUGGAGGGAAAUUAUAUUAUAGGCUCUCACAAUUAAUUUGUGGAUGUCAUCGAAUAAAUAAUAUACUUGGCAAAUAAAUGAAUAAAAAAAUGUAAAGAAA
Molecule: long non-coding RNA, 1338 nt
Filed under: Salmo salar (Atlantic salmon)
Lineage: Eukaryota; Metazoa; Chordata; Actinopteri; Salmoniformes; Salmonidae
Description: lncRNA (ENSSSAG00000112542.1)
Source: RNAcentral